RNAcentral lists this ribosomal RNA (487 nucleotides) under uncultured bacterium. RNAcentral's name for it is "bacterial SSU rRNA". It matches the Rfam family "Bacterial small subunit ribosomal RNA", at positions 28 to 507 of the family's 1533-position model. The record is from RNAcentral.
GAUGAACGCUGGCGGCGUGCUUAACACAUGCAAGUCGAACGGACUUUUAUUGAAGCCUAGCGAUAUAAAAGUUAGUGGCGGACGGGUGAGUAACGCGUGGGUAACCUGCCCUUUGGAUGGGGACAACAUUCCGAAAGGAGUGCUAAUACCGAAUGUGACGAUUUUACCGCAUGGUUUAAUCGUGAAAGAUGGCCUCUACAUGUAAGCUAUCGCCAAAGGAUGGGCCUGCGUCUGAUUAGCUAGUUGGUGGGGUAACGGCUCACCAAGGCGACGAUCAGUAGCCGGUCUGAGAGGAUGAACGGCCACAUUGGGACUGAGACACGGCCCAGACUCCUACGGGAGGCAGCAGUGGGGGAUAUUGCACAAUGGGCGAAAGCCUGAUGCAGCAACGCCGCGUGAGGGAAGACGGUUUUCGGAUUGUAAACCUCUGUCUUUGGUGAAGAAGAAAGUGACGGUAGCCAAGGAGGAAGCCACGGCUAACUACGUG